AACGAACGCUGGCGGCAUGCCUAACACAUGCAAGUCGAACGUGAUCCGGGACUUCGGUUUCGGUGAAAGUGGCGGACGGGUGAGUAACGCGUGGGAACCUGCCCAGUGGUAGGGGAUAACCGCGGGAAACUGCGGCUAAUACCCUAUGUGCCCUGCGGGGCGAAAGAUUCAUCGCCAUUGGAGGGGCCCGCGUCGGAUUAGGUAGUUGGUGGGGUAACGGCCUACCAAGCCUUCGAUCCGUAGCUGGUCUGAGAGGAUGAUCAGCCACACUGGGACUGAGACACGGCCC
RNAcentral lists this ribosomal RNA (289 nucleotides) under uncultured bacterium. RNAcentral's name for it is "partial 16S ribosomal RNA". It matches the Rfam family "Bacterial small subunit ribosomal RNA", at positions 29 to 332 of the family's 1533-position model. The record is from RNAcentral.